Long non-coding RNA from Xenopus tropicalis (tropical clawed frog), 1461 nucleotides. RefSeq lists it as uncharacterized. Lineage: Eukaryota; Metazoa; Chordata; Amphibia; Anura; Pipidae. The transcript has 2 exons. The record is from RefSeq and is a predicted model, not a curated record.
CUCCAAACCUCAUGUGAAAAUGUAUUUUCUGUUAUAAUUUCAGAUAUGAUAAGCUAAUAUUUUGGUAACUGUGGUCGGGGGCCUGGCUCUUUGGUUCUGCAGCUUUAGUUGCUGUCAGUCUGUACCAAACCAGCUUUUCCCAGACCUAUAGAAACCACCAGGCUGAGCUCUUCCUUGAGCUGCCUUUGCAGAUACAGGUGUGGACAUCUCCCAGUGUCUGAUGCUCAUGUAUAAUACUGCACACAUUCCCAGCUUAGUGGGAACUUCCUACUGCUCUAGAACCCUGAUAGCUGCACUACCACUCCCAGCUGCCUGUAACAUAAACUGGCCAUUCUCCAAAAUUAACUAUUUACUGAUACCUUACAAGGACCAACAAUUUUAACUGUGGCCCUUUAAUAUUGUGCAAGAUGAGACUUGCGAUUCCUGUUUAGUUCUAAUGUAGGCGCCAGUCGCUGGUUGCUGAAAGACGAUCUGGGACAUGUUGGAAAUGCAGGACUGUUGCACUGUGUGCGUUGUUCUGAGCCCAUGUGUGGGGGUGGGCUGUGAGCUUGCAACUAUUGGGAAUAAAAGUCUGUCGAACAUUGGUGUGUGUCUAUGUGCUACUUUCUGUUGUUGGUUGCGAGGCUUAAAGGGGUAUAUUUAUCAUGUUGUGUAAAAAGUGGAGUGAAACAUUAAUGGUGAUGUUGCCCAGCGCAACCAAUCCGGUAAUGUUUUACUGCACUUUUUACACAGCAUGAUAAAUAUACCCCUAAGUCUAAAGUUGGCAGUGGGUGCUGUACUAUGUUUUCCUAUCCCUUUAGCCAUCAUGUAUGAACUGUUAAGCCUUCCUCACUUUGAUGGCUAGUUUACCAAAUGUUAUCUUUUUAACUUUGUUGGCAGCUGUUAAGACAUUAUACUGUAAUUUUCCCUUAUAUAGCGCCUACAUGUUCAGCAGUACUUUAGGGGUUGUCCCCAUCUGUCCCUGUUCUAUCGGAGCUGGCAAUCUAUUGCAUGCAGUAAGGUCAGUUUUAUUAGGAGCCUGCCUGUAAGUUUUUGAAAUGUGGGAAGAAACUGGAGUCCCAGAAAAAAACCAUGGAGGUACUUGGAAGAUCAUAGAGACCAUUGUAGUGCCGCUGGCUGCUGUGUCUGAAGUAGCUCUGUGGGGUGAGUACAAACCCAGGUACAAUGAGGGCUGCACACUGCCCUUCUGUUGUAGACCACUGUCUAUGGUACAGUUCUUUACAGUUCCUCAGUCACAUUAUAAACUGCUCCUCGGCUGAAUUCUUUGCAUUGCUAAGCCUUCUCAACCAAGAUGCUUUAUUCUUUUUAGGUCCAAGGAAAUUCAUUUGACGUCACAAUGCAAUGGGACUUCAAGAUCUGUCUGCGGUAACUCUUUUUCCUUUUGCCUUUUUGAAAGUGAUUUUAAAAGGUACCCAAUCUUAUUUUUCUACUGAAUAAAAAAUAAAAUCUUUGGCAUGACUA